Molecule: non-coding RNA, 6347 nt
Organism: Xyrichtys novacula (pearly razorfish)
Lineage: Eukaryota; Metazoa; Chordata; Actinopteri; Labriformes; Labridae
Source: the annotation of a GenBank genome assembly
UGGUGCUGCUUUGCAAAGAUUGUGUACUUACAAAUUUGUUGAUGGCUGUCUCGUCACCGAGCCGCUCCUUUGUAAUCGUUCAUCUCAUCUUUGGCCUUGUGUACGUAAAAUGACUCGCAGUCAUCUGAAAUCUGCAUCCACUGUGAAAAGACAAAAACACACGGUCAGAAACACACACAUUUCCAAACAUGCACAGGAAAAAAAAACUCAAUUAGUGUACGGCAUUUCCUCUAUGCUAACUCUAAGUGUACAUCUGUGUCUUUCAAUGCUUUAGAGAUCAAAUAUCUUUACAUGUUACCAUUAAUGAAAAGCAACAUUCACAGUUAAGGAAAAAAAGAAAAAAAUGGAAAUGUAUAAUAUACUACCACACUUACCCAAUAUCUAAGGCAGGCCUUUAUUUCUUCACUGCCUUUCUUUUCAAUUUCAUAUGGAACUCGGUUCCUAUUUAUCAUUGCAUUGACAGCAAAUGGACUUGGUGGCUUUCUCCUGUCUUCUUGCUCCAUGUCUGCAUAAGGGGUUGUGAAAAAGCCUGCUGACACAUUUGCCUUAACACGGCCAAGUUUCAGUUCAAGACAGUAAAUCAAUAUUCAAAUCUGAAAUCUCUUCAUUUACUUCAACCUCUUUAGAAAAAAGGUAUCUAAUAUUCAGUCAUCCAUACUAAAUAUUGAUACUAUUUGAUCUGGCUGCAUUAAUAGUUUCAGAUUGAUUAUGUUUUCAGGAUUGACUGCUUGUAUUCAGCCUGUAAAUAACAAAAGGGUCAGGUUAGGGGAGAGACACGGUCUCUAUAUCAAAGUGGCUGGGAAACUGCUCUACAGGAGGCUCAGAUCAGUGUCUUAGACUGCAGCUCUGAUGCUGAUGAUGAUAGUGGGGAUGAAGCCCAUCAAAAUUAUUCUCAUUAUGAAGAUAAUUUUACUGUUUAUUCUCUACACUUUGGUAUUUUUCUCUGCUUAGUAUUGAUUGAGGUUCUGUUUUCGCAGUACUCCAGUCCACCAACAGAUGGUAAUAUUCUGUAACUUAAAGGCUCAAUCUCAGUCUUGAUUCAUUUGCCAUAGCUUUCAAGAGUUCAAUAUCUGUAUUUCAAGUCUGAUUUUGAAUUGAUGAAGCUGUCAAACCUACUGCAUUUCCUUAAAACAGCUACUUUUCAAUAACUUUGAGUGUCCACUUGAAUUGUAUUUCCAUAUUUUCGAAAUGCAAUUAUUUUCAGAAAGCAAAGCAUCCAUCUGUCGAUAAAAUUUGUGUUGUUGUGCUGUCCUAAAUCAGUCCACAGCAAACAAACAGAUAAAAACAAACAAACACUGGUCUCUUAUCAGAAAGCUGUUUUCAAUUUUAAUUUCAGCCAAUUUAAGCUGCCUCAUAUUGGACAGCAGUUUUGGCAGCAUGCGGACAUCAGUGCCUCUGCUUUAUAAAACAUCCUUGAUGGGGUUGUCUGCAGGUCAGGCAUUCAUUGCUAUCACACAAACACACACGGAACCCAUUGACUUCUGUUCUCAAAGCCAAGUAACGCAUGUAACCUUGUGUUUUAUCACAGCAGCAGCCUAUUGAGGAAGAUAUAGUCGUGCAGCAAAAUUGCUGCUGUAAGUGAUGGGCUAUGCUCGUUUGAACUCUGAGAAACCUGAGAGCCUCACACGCUGUCUCUAAAGUGGGUGUUAAAGGCUGUAUCUCAGGCUAUUACUGGUAUUAGAGAUUGCUUGGAGAACCCCUGAGUGGGCCUACAGCCUGUCCAUGUGCUGUGUGUCUAUGAGCUCUAUUUUCUUUCUUUUUGCUGUGACACACAUGACGGCUUACUGCAUGCAUGUUUUUAAUGAUUUGGUCGGGUUGCCUUUAUACACUCCUCCUACACUCUGUACUGAGAAGGGGGUUCAAUUCAAGGAUAUCUCUGUUUCCAUGACAACAGGGAAGCCACACCCUGUUUCAUAUCCCCAACCCCCCAACAUGCUCUGAUCAGAGCGAAGCUGUGUAGAGAGAGGCUGUUAUUGGUACAUGUUUAACAUGAGCAUGAAAACUCAGGAAUGAGCAAAUCAUCCAUCUGGUGUUGAAUGACUUUGGCAGCUAACAACACAUGAGUUGUUAAAUUAAUUUAGAGCACAGUUAUUUGUGGUUAUCCUGGGAUUUUUCUUCCAUACUGAGUUGCAUACAUAUACAGCUUGUUUUCAGUCCCAUGGGUUAAAAUUUGAUCUCAGAAUGCGUCUCAUCCCAAUAUGAAAUGUGGCGCUGACUGUGGGAGAAUGAAAUGAAUCCACAACAUUGCUCUUUCUCAUGUUUAUGUCGCCCCUUAAUGCCUGACACCACAAAUUAUGGCCAGAAAAUUCAAUUUUUUUUUGGAGCUGAGAUGUUUAUUUCACUUACUACUGAAAAACAAAAAAAUCGAGAUGUCCUUUAAAUUUAACAAACAUAUUUAUUGAUCUCGUUUGAUACAUUAGAUGUUUUUGGAAACUGAUAAACUACAAGAGGACAUUUUUAUAAUUUAUCUGACUGUAUUCAGGUGGGUUUUUUUUAAGUAAUUUGUUGAUCAUAUUGAUUUGAUAGAAGUGUAUAAAAGUAUGUAUCAAAUAUGAUACAAAAGGCAUUAUAAGGUUAAGUUAAAUUCAAGCAGUGAGCAAAAUAUUCUAGAUUUAGUCCUAAUGAAAUUGUGUAAAUUGUUUUUCUUUGUUGUUUGAUAAUAUGAAGAUGUUUCACUGAAGUUAUUUUAUUGAUUAUCCUUUUUUUUCUAAACCAGGACCAACUACUGUCGCAAAAACUGUAAAAACCAAUUCCCUAAAGCCCCCUCAUUUGAUGCAUUUUCAACUCUAAUUUAUUUGUUCAUUUUGAAAACUGCAAAAUUGCAAAACAAAUGAUCUACAAACCCUAACCUUAACUACAAUGCAGCACUCACAAUUUUUCGGAUUGGAGUCACUGUUUUGUUAAGAGGCCAUACACAUUGCAUCGGUCUGGUGAAUGGUUGGGGUGAUGGUAAAUGGGCAAAAUCAUAUGAAUGGUAAUGUUUUUAAGAACAGUUAGUUUGGAUUUAAAUGCUGUUUUCUUUUGUCCAAAGCUUAGCAGUUCAGAUACUGGUAAAUUACUUAUUUAAAGUCCCACUCUGAUUGUUUUUUAUUUAUUUUUUUAAAGUGUUCUCAGCGGUCAUUAAAUCUGCCAUUUGGGUCUCCCAGAGGUUCACAGCAAUUUAAAUGCAGUAAUACUCAGAAAUGCAACUUUGCACUUAGUUUUCUCAUAAUGUGUCCACCAGCAUCAGAAAAAUGUCAUAUGAACAUGUGGAUAACAAAAAAAACAUGAUCUUUAUCAGAGUGGUACUUUUAAUCAAUACCACAUCCUAUGUUAGGUUCUGACACUAGGUCAACAGAAAAUGGCCUCUGAUCCUGGUCUUUAAAAUUUUAAGAAAAACGUCAUUUUGAAAAAACUUUUGGUUUUGAUUUUAGUUGUUAAAAAAAAACAGACUCAGAGUUGGACUUCAAUAAAGAAAAUGCUUGUGAGCACUUUAUUUUAUGUUUGUGUUGGAACUUUUUGUACAUCGUAUUACAUUUAUGCUCCAACUUUUACACUACACUUCUACAGUUCUUACAUACAUUUUUCUAUGUAUGUCCUUGGAUGUCAGGAAUGAGUCACAUAGUCUGAUUUAUGUAAAAAAUGACAGCAUCUUUCCUCCUCUUCCUCCUUUCUCUUUUCAUUGUGCUGAUUUUGUCCUCUCAGCUCUCUCCUGCUGGACACACUGAAUGGCCUGUGGAUGCCGAGUUGGCUGCCCCCGGCUCAUCCAUCUCCCAGAGGUCCUUUAUGGUUUUGCUCCAUUGUGUGGUAACCUAGUUUAUUGAAUCACCAUUGUUUUUGUAUUAUUGCUGUCUGUGAUAUGUUUUCAGAAUUACAGAAUGCAACUUGCAACUCGCUUUCAUUAUGGAUUUAUCUGAUCGUCGGUCUCUAGAUGAAUUAGUUGAUUUUUUAGUUUGUUAUGUGUCAAAAAAACAUUGAAAAGACAUUUAUUGGAGUGAAAAAUGGCUUCAUUUUGUUGGUGUCUCAUGAAAUUAGGAUACAUAGCUUGAACAUUUUCAAUUUAGUUUCAAAGGGGGUGUAAAAAACCAACAUAACAGAUCAAUGUAGAGGUUAAAAUCAACAUUUUCUAGACAUUUUUGCUUCAGAAUAUUACUAAAAUUGUUUUCUCAAUCAUAAAAUUUCCUCCUCAUAUAUUUGGUCUUCUUUAACUCAUUGUUUAAGCCACAUUCAAAUCAGCUUUUUCAUGCUGGUGCGAUAGAAAAAACUCUGACUUGACUUUCCUGGUACAGAGAUGUGGUUUGGUUCUUCCCCGAGGCUGUGUUUGGCCUGGUUUUGGUUUGUCUUGUUCUGUUUUGGUAUUUGCCACAGCAACACUGUGUUUCACAUGUAGUGACACAGUAAGAGGAAUUGUGCUGGCUAUGUUUGAAUCGGGGGAAGGAGGAAAAUGCUGGUUGGACAAAGACUUAGGGAAUUUAUCCAGCUACAAGGACCCAAUCUAAAUAGUCUUUGAUGAAACACAUUCACGAGAAAACAAAGAUAAUGAGCAACAUGAUUAAACAUUAAACAUCAUUACAGAGAAAGAGGAGUUCAACAGCAAGAAAAAAAUAUAUGUUAAUGAGUUUCCUGCAGCAUGAGCUCUUCUUGGUAUGUUAUGAAGAACUUAGAGCCACAAAAUAAUGUCUAGACCACUGGUAGCUUUAUGAAUUGCUGCUGACUUUGGACUCGAUGUAUUUACAGCUUCCAGACAUCACCAGAUGGCCGGUCAGCAUUUUCAUACAGUACUUUAUCAGUGAAAUGGAGCAGUAAACCUUACUGGAGUCCUAUCAUUGAAGAGUAAUAGAAGAGCUGAUUUGCCAAUUUGUCACUUUACCUCACAUUCACUUUAGAUCAGUGUUAAAUAAGCAGUCUGUUAUCUGCCCAUCUCUCUCUCGCUCGCUCUCUCUCUCUCUGCUUCUGCAUUAAGUCUCUCUCAAGCUCCACAAACAACAUCAAAGGAGUGUGCUUCAAAUCGCAGGUGUUGAAGGAUUAAGGCCACCGCAGGAUGGGGUUUUAUUCUCAGCCCUAUCUUUGAUCUGGUGUCUCUUUCACUCACUUGUGUCUGUAACCUGUAACACAGACUGAUAGCUCAGUGAUUUCCCUUAAACUGAAAAUGUGGGAGGUCUUCAUUCUCAUACAUUCAUGGCUAGCAGGUUUAAGUGCAAGGAAAACUCAAAAUUAUGCCUACGUCCUGAAAAGCUGGGGUUCAAAGUGGCAAAUAUAGCAAAAUCAUGUCGUAUUAAGGGUCUGGAAGGUUCGGUACAUCUAUUCAGUGACAGUCUCCAAACUUAAAUGCUCCAUUUUUCAGCCUGUAGUGAUUUAUUUCUCUGUUUAUGUGCAAGCUGAAAAAAUUGUGAUAAUCAAAUUAAUGCAGCGGUUGGCCUUUUCUGAUGUGUUUAUUCAGAUGUGGGAGAGCAGAAACUGCAUGUUAUUAACAACGCACGUGUUAAGCAUACGGAGGCAGUGCAAUACAAAUUUGAGCCAGGGCUCUUCAAAUAUAUAAAAGUCUCUCUUUAAGGCACAUGCAAAAUUAAAGAAUAAAAAGUCCUGCCACCACUCUGAUGAGGAAAUAUUUUUCCAUUUAAAUUCACAUUGGCUUCAACCAGCUUAUUCAAGUACUACUGUAAAUUAAGAGCAACUUUUAUCCCUGCAAAUGGAACAAACUGUGCAAACAUGGAAGCCUGAGUAGAGAUAUACCUAUCAAGUACUGAUACAUAAACAGUUGUGUGGUUGUAUUCAAUGUUUUCAACAUAACCAACAAAGAUAUCAGAACUCAAAAUGCACUGAUAUGUUUAAUUCAUCUUUCUGGAGGAAUUUCUUUGAAUAAAUGUAAAAAAAAUUUACAAACAUUUACUUCCAUUCAAUCCUAAAAUGUAUUUAUUUACCCCAUUGAGACUCAGAGUCUGAUUAUAUAAGGAAGUUUGUCCAUUUGUGUAACAUGAUCAUAGUUUUAAGAUAAGAUAUUCCUUUAUUCAUCCCACAAGAGGAAAUUCAAAUUUUACAUCAGCGAUAAAUACAAAAGAGAAAUUGAGAAUGAAGAAACUUAGGAGUUUAAAGAUACAUAAAAAGAUAUACAUGAGUGUUAUUUACAGCUGUUAUGAUAUAUUACAGUUGAAAAAUAGAGAUAUUUAUAUGUAUGACUAUAUGCACAGAAUAAGCAUACGUGUGUUUUCAUACCUGUAAAAACUCAAUUUAUAACCUCUCUGACACCAAGCAAAGAAACUCUCCUGAGUGAGCAUUUUGGUCCUAGCUGAAGGCUCUGCGCUGAUCUUUGACCCCAUUAGGUCACAGAGGUGUGUUGGUAGAGGAGGAAAAAGGACGGCACAUUGCUC